UGGGGAAUAUUGCACAAUGGGCGAAAGCCUGAUGCAGCGACGCCGCGUGCGGGAUGAAGGCCUUCGGGUUGUAAACCGCUUUUGAUUGGGAGCAAGCGAGAGUGAGUGUACCUUUCGAAUAAGCACCGGCUAACUACGUGCCAGCAGCCGCGGUAAUACGUAGGGUGCAAGCGUUAUCCGGAAUUAUUGGGCGUAAAGAGCUCGUAGGCGGUUUGUCGCGUCUGGUGUGAAAGUCCAUCGCUUAACGGUGGAUCUGCGCCGGGUACGGGCAGGCUAGAGUGCGACAGGGGAGACUGGAAUUCCCGGUGUAACGGUGGAAUGUGUAGAUAU
This 330-nucleotide ribosomal RNA is filed under the name uncultured bacterium. RNAcentral describes it as "partial 16S ribosomal RNA". It matches the Rfam family "Bacterial small subunit ribosomal RNA", at positions 355 to 697 of the family's 1533-position model. The record is from RNAcentral.